This is a ribosomal RNA of 517 nucleotides. The stretch from base 145 to 298 matches the Rfam family "5.8S ribosomal RNA".
UUACCUAGAGUUGCGGGCUUUGCCUGCCAUCUCUUACCCAUGUCUUUUGAGUACCUUACGUUUCCUCGGCGGGUCCGCCCGCCGAUUGGACAACCUUAAACCCUUUGUAAUUGAAGUCAGCGUCUGAAAAAACUUAAUAGUUACAACUUUCAACAACGGAUCUCUUGGUUCUGGCAUCGAUGAAGAACGCAGCGAAAUGCGAUAAGUAGUGUGAAUUGCAGAAUUCAGUGAAUCAUCGAAUCUUUGAACGCACAUUGCGCCCCUUGGUAUUCCAUGGGGCAUGCCUGUUCGAGCGUCAUUUGUACCUUCAAGCUCUGCUUGGUGUUGGGUGGUUGUCUCGCCUCUGCGCGCAGACUCGCCUCAAAACAAUUGGCAGCCGGCGUAUUGAUUUCGGAGCGCAGUACAUCUCGCGCUUUGCACUCAUAACGACGACGUCCAAAAAGUACAUUUUUACACUCUUGACCUCGGAUCAGGUAGGGAUACCCGCUGAANUNAANCAUAUCAAUAAGCGGAGGAA